GAUGAACGCUGGCGGCGUGCCUAAUACAUGCAAGUCGAGCGAACAGACGAGGAGCUUGCUCCUCUGACGUUAGCGGCGGACGGGUGAGUAACACGUUGCUAACCUACCUAUAAGACUGGGAUAACUUCGGGAAACCGGAGCUAAUACCGGAUAAUAUAUUGAACCGCAUGGUUCAAUAGUGAAAGACGGUUUUGCUGUCACUUAUAGAUGGAUCCGCGCCGCAUUAGCUAGUUGGUAAGGUAACGGCUUACCAAGGCAACGAUGCGUAGCCGACCUGAGAGGGUGAUCGGCCACACUGGAACUGAGACACGGUCCAGACUCCUACGGGAGGCAGCAGUAGGGAAUCUUACGCAAUGGGCGAAAGCCUGACGGAGCAACGCCGCGUGAGUGAUGAAGGUCUUCGGAUCGUAAAACUCUGUUAUUAGGGAAGAACAAAUGUGUAAGUAACUAUGCACGUCUUGACGGUACCUAAUCAGAAAGCCACGGCUAACUACGUG
This 497-nucleotide ribosomal RNA is filed under the name uncultured bacterium. RNAcentral's name for it is "partial 16S ribosomal RNA". It matches the Rfam family "Bacterial small subunit ribosomal RNA", at positions 28 to 507 of the family's 1533-position model. The record is from RNAcentral.